This is a long non-coding RNA of Oryzias latipes (Japanese medaka), 577 nucleotides long. RefSeq lists it as uncharacterized. The record is from RefSeq and is a predicted model, not a curated record. NCBI's taxonomy places the organism in Eukaryota, Metazoa, Chordata, Actinopteri, Beloniformes, Adrianichthyidae.
UCCAUCAGCGCGCUGUUGAGCCUUCAUCCCCUCUGUUGUGUUUAGGUGACAGAAACCAAAGAAUGACCCUGAGUUUCAAUGAUCACGUUCUGUCCUGGGACCUUUUGUAAUCCAGGCUUUUCCUUCCAGCUGGAAAAUCAUCAUGGUGUUCCCCAUCUUCGCCAACCAGUGGCUGGGAUAGCAGUCCUGUGAUCCCGAAGGGGUUUCAGCUGUUUCGGACAAGCAACAUCCACCAAGUGCCUGCCUGGGUCCAACUCUCGUCAAGAUCCCUCAAGCCACCACAACAUCAAGACCUCCAGCCACGCCACGACCUCCAGCCUUGCUCCGUCAGUGAUCCGCAAGGUCCCCACUCAACUCGCCAUGAAAAUCUCAAGACAAAGACACCAGAAUUUUAAUAAAAUAUAUGAUAAUAAAAAGAUACAGAUUUUCUUUCUGAAAUUCAUCAUUGAAGAAUCCAAAAGGUAUUUUGUGUUAAAUUAAUUUAAAAAAAAGGCCAGAUCUGCACAUUCAAAUAGAAGUCAUUCUUUUGUUCAAACAACAAUGAAGUAAAGCUUCAGCAUUAAGAAACUCAGAAAGU